Pygocentrus nattereri (red-bellied piranha) is the source of this 73-nucleotide non-coding RNA. Lineage: Eukaryota; Metazoa; Chordata; Actinopteri; Characiformes; Serrasalmidae. The record is from the annotation of a RefSeq genome assembly.
GUUUCUAUAGUGUAAAGGUUGUCACGUUUGCCUUACACGCGAAAGGCCCCCGGUUCGAUCCCGGGCAGAAACA